Molecule: ribosomal RNA, 503 nt
Filed under: uncultured bacterium
Lineage: Bacteria
Description: partial 16S ribosomal RNA
Rfam family: Bacterial small subunit ribosomal RNA
Source: RNAcentral
GAUGAACGCUAGCGACAGGCUUAACACAUGCAAGUCGAGGGGCAGCACGGUGUAGCAAUACAUUGGUGGCGACCGGCGCACGGGUGGGUAACGCGUAUGCAACCUACCUAUCAGAGGGGAAUAACCCGGCGAAAGUCGGACUAAUACCGCAUAAAACAGGGGUUCCACAUGGAAAUAUUUGUUAAAGAUUUAUCGCUGAUAGAUGGGCAUGCGUUCCAUUAGAUAGUUGGUGAGGUAACGGCUCACCAAGUCUACGAUGGAUAGGGGUUCUGAGAGGAAGGUCCCCCACACUGGUACUGAGACACGGACCAGACUCCUACGGGAGGCAGCAGUGAGGAAUAUUGGUCAAUGGGCGAGAGCCUGAACCAGCCAAGUCGCGUGAAGGAUGAAGGAUCUAUGGUUUGUAAACUUCUUUUAUAUGGGAAUAAAGUGAGGAACGUGUUCCUUUUUGUAUGUACCAUAUGAAUAAGCAUCGGCUAACUCCGUGCCAGCCGCCGCUGUAA